GGGGCAUUAGCGCAGUUGGUAGCGCGUUUGAAUGGCAUUCAAAAGGUCAGGGGUUCGACUCCCCUAUGCUCCACCA
RNAcentral lists this transfer RNA (76 nucleotides) under Clostridiales bacterium. RNAcentral's name for it is "tRNA-Ala". It matches the Rfam family "tRNA". Rfam says of the family: Transfer RNA (tRNA) molecules are approximately 80 nucleotides in length. The record is from RNAcentral. RNAcentral also lists the same sequence under 8 other names. Lineage: Bacteria; Bacillati; Bacillota; Clostridia; Eubacteriales.